This 102-nucleotide non-coding RNA is filed under the name Polaromonas sp. CG9_12. RNAcentral's name for it is "Glycine riboswitch aptamer". It matches the Rfam family "Glycine riboswitch aptamer". From Rfam's summary of the family: This family represents the bacterial glycine riboswitch. Glycine riboswitches usually consist of two metabolite-binding aptamers domains with similar structures in tandem. Lineage: Bacteria; Pseudomonadati; Pseudomonadota; Betaproteobacteria; Burkholderiales; Comamonadaceae. The record is from Rfam by way of RNAcentral. RNAcentral also lists the same sequence under 1 other name.
GCGUUCCCUGCUGGAGAGAGGCCGCUUUCAAGGCGGUCCACCGAAGGAGCAACCCUGCAUCGUCAGGCGAAUCUCUCAGGUAAAGUGGACAGAAGGGGCAGC